RNAcentral lists this ribosomal RNA (206 nucleotides) under uncultured bacterium. RNAcentral describes it as "partial 16S ribosomal RNA". It matches the Rfam family "Bacterial small subunit ribosomal RNA", at positions 568 to 774 of the family's 1533-position model. The record is from RNAcentral.
UGUGUAGGCGGUGCUCUAAGUCUGUCGUGAAAUCUCCCGGCUUAACUGGGAGGGUGCGGCGGAAACUGGAGUGCUCGAGGGUGGGAGAGGAAAGCGGAAUUCCUGGUGUAGCGGUGAAAUGCGUAGAUAUCAGGAGGAACACCUGCGGUGUAGACAGCUUUCUGGACCACUUCUGACGCUGAGACACGAAAGCGUGGUAGCAAACA